Molecule: non-coding RNA, 23 nt
Filed under: Cricetulus griseus (Chinese hamster)
Lineage: Eukaryota; Metazoa; Chordata; Mammalia; Rodentia; Cricetidae
Source: RNAcentral
CUUCAGAUACAACCUACCGUCGA